Molecule: long non-coding RNA, 1483 nt
Filed under: Homo sapiens (human)
Lineage: Eukaryota; Metazoa; Chordata; Mammalia; Primates; Hominidae
Description: PREDICTED lncRNA (TCONS_00188979)
Rfam family: SOX2 overlapping transcript exon 3 (bases 561-836)
Source: RNAcentral
GUCGUAAAAGGGGACGCGGAGGAGAAGGAAAGUCGCUCAAGCAGUGGACAGAGCGGAGAAAGCGACUUCGGGUCUGCUGGAGUUUGCUGGAGGUGCACUCCAGACUCUGUUUGCCUGCCUAUCACCAACAGAGGCUGCAGAACAGCAAAGAUUGCUGUCUGUAACUUCCUCUGGAAGCUUCAUCCCAGAGGGGCACCUGCCAGAUGCCAGCCGGAGCUCUCCUCUAUGAGUGAAUGAAGGAGGGAAGAAAGGAGAGACAGAGAAAAUAUGGAUUUCCUCAUGGUUGUGAUUCCUCUUCACUCUUUUGAAUUUGGAAGGAUGGCAUACACAUCUGAAAAAUACCACUACUUCCUUCAUUGGACUGCAAGGUAUUUCUGUUUGGAAAAGUAAUGGAGUCCAGUCAACUUCAUUGAUCGCCAAGGACUGUCAAAAUUAUAAAACUUGCUGUGGAGCUCUGACAUGCCAGAAGCCGCUAGAAAAAGAAGUUUGACAUUCAGAAACUUAUCAAGAGGUUCUACUCUUUGGAUAGAGACCAAAAUCAUACUUUGAAGGGAUUGCAGUGGCAAAGCUAGGCUAGGUCUUGGAGGCUGGUGUAAGGCGAUGUGGGUGAAGGCAGGAGGCUGAUGGAAAGACUGGGGGGAAGAAAAGCCGAAAUGGAUUCACGGUGCCUUGGAUGAAGGACGAGAGGGGAACUGCAAGCUCCUUCAACUGGUUCUGUCCGGUGAGAAGUGAUCAAGCUUGGGCUGACAAGAGGCUCAGGGAGCCCUCACGUUCUUUCGCUUUUUUACCUGCCAAUCAAACUGCUACAAGACAACACCCUGAUCUGGCAUGGACAUUUAUUCUUCUUAGGAUGGCUGCCAGGGAAUAGAUGAAAGGCAGAAGUGGCGAUGGGUGACUGAUGUGGCACACUUAUGAAGAAAAGCCUCUUUUUCCAUGCUUGUUUUUCCUCCCCAAGGAGCCAACAGAGUUUCUAUUCUCCAACUCUGCUCUUCACCUUACCCAAGUCAUUGCAGUCACCUGGAGUCACGGAAAUGACCAUGAUUGCCUGAACUUUCAUGACUUCUGUGGAUAACUGUGGUUGCAGAAAAGAGAAAACCUGGACCGUGAGGGACAUUUCACUCCCUGGGCUUUGGUACAUGGUACAUGUGUGGUUGGAUGUGUGUUGCCAGAAAACAGCCUGCCAUGUCUGAGGCUAUGCUCCCAGACUAGCAGCCUGGGUUACAGGGGAAGAGCUGAAGUUGGGUUGGGGAAGUUUAAUAUACUAUACUUUUAAAAUUUUUUUACUUUUGGCUAAUAUUUAUCUAUUUAUUUAUUUUUAUUUUUUGUAGAGACAGGGUUUUGCCAUGUUGCCCUGGCUGGUCUCAAACUACUGAGCUUGAGAAUCUGCUUGUCUUGGCCUCCCAAAGAGCUAGGAUUACAGGCAUGAGCCAUCGAGCCUGGCUCCUUUUAUUCUUUUCAUGACACUACCUCUUCCUAGGAGAGG